This 706-nucleotide ribosomal RNA is filed under the name uncultured bacterium. RNAcentral's name for it is "bacterial SSU rRNA". It matches the Rfam family "Bacterial small subunit ribosomal RNA", at positions 55 to 755 of the family's 1533-position model. The record is from RNAcentral.
AUGCAGUCGAACGGCAGCACGGGAGCAAUCCUGGUGGCGAGUGGCGAACGGGUGAGUAAUAUAUCGGAACGUGCCCAGUCGUGGGGGAUAACGUAGCGAAAGCUACGCUAAUACCGCAUACGAUCUACGGAUGAAAGCGGGGGACUCGUAAGGGCCUCGCGCGAUUGGAGCGGCCGAUAUCAGACUAGGUUGUUGGUGAGGUAAAAGCUCACCAAGCCUGCGAUCUGUAGCUGGUCUGAGAGGACGACCAGCCACACUGGAACUGAGACACGGUCCAGACUCCUACGGGAGGCAGCAGUGGGGAAUUUUGGACAAUGGACGCAAAUCUGAUCCAGCAAUGCCGCGUGCAGGACGAAGGCCUUCGGGUUGUAAACUGCUUUUGUACGGAACGAAACGGUCUGCUUUAAUACAGUGGGCUAAUGACGGUACCGUAAGAAUAAGCACCGGCUAACUACGUGCCAGCAGCCGCGGUAAUACGUAGGGUGCGAGCGUUAAUCGGAAUUACUGGGCGUAAAGCGUGCGCAGGCGGUUAUAUAAGUCAGAUGUGAAAUCCCCGGGCUCAACCUGGGACCUGCAUUUGAGACUGUAUAGCUAGAGUACGGUAGAGGGGGAUGGAAUUCCGCGUGUAGCAGUGAAAUGCGUAGAUAUGCGGAGGAACACCGAUGGCGAAGGCAAUCCCCUGGACCUGUACUGACGCUCAUGCACG